UUUCCCAUUUGACUACCACAUUUUCUCCUAAUAAUAGAUUUUAUUGGCUAUACUUAUGGGAUAGGUUAACAUUGACAUGACCUAAAGAGGGAGAUUUAUUUGUGUCCUCCUCCUUUAUGAAAUGGCUGAACAUAAAUAA
Small nucleolar RNA from Molossus molossus (Pallas's mastiff bat), 139 nucleotides. RefSeq annotates it as small nucleolar RNA SNORA29. The record is from RefSeq and is a predicted model, not a curated record. The transcript has a single exon. NCBI's taxonomy places the organism in Eukaryota, Metazoa, Chordata, Mammalia, Chiroptera, Molossidae.